GACGUAGGGCGCGAGCGUUGUCCGGAUUUAUUGGGCGUAAAGAGCUCGUAGGCGGCUUGUCGCGUCGACUGUGAAAUCCCGCGGCUCAACUGCGGGUCUGCAGUCGAUACGGGUAGGCUAGAGUUCGGUAGGGGAGACUGGAAUUCCUGGUGUAGCGGUGAAAUGCGCAGAUAUCAGGAGGAACACCGAUGGCGAAGGCAGGUCUCUGGGCCGAUACUGACGCUGAGGAGCGAAAGCGUGGGGAGCGAACAGG
Molecule: ribosomal RNA, 253 nt
Filed under: uncultured bacterium
Lineage: Bacteria
Description: partial 16S ribosomal RNA
Rfam family: Bacterial small subunit ribosomal RNA
Source: RNAcentral